CAUGAGCUCAAGGCGAUCCAUCCGCCCCAACCUCCCAAAGAGCUGGGUUACAGGCAUAAGUCACCACACCCAGCCAUAAAUGAUAGGUAUUUCUUAUGCUGUAAGCUAUGCAAAAUUAAAAACUCGUAACCUUCUAUCAGUUCCCUUUUUUUCCUUUAACAUCUUGGUCUUUAAAACAAAAUUUAAAAAAGAAAGAAAGAAAGAAAGAAAACUGUUGCCUUAGUCCUUGAGAGUCAGUGGCUCAAAAUGUAUCCCGUUUAUCUUUACAUAAACUUACUGCAAGUGAAGAAUCUGAAUUCAAACUUCUUGGAUGUUAUUUUGGUCUUCAUUUAAACUAUGUGAGUAUAAAUAACAGAAUGCACAGUAUCCUCCAGAAAACAGGUUAUCUUCAUUUCAUUUUACAAAUGGUUGUCCAUAAGAUAGUUCUAGAAUUGUUAGAAUUGUUGUUGUUAUUGUUGUUGUUAAGGGAUUCUGCACUGCUUUCAGUUUUAUUAAAUAUCCACAGAAUGUUAAUAGAUAAAACUAAUUUUUUUUUUUUUAGAGAAGGAGUCUUGUUCUGCUGCCCAGGCUGGAGUGCAGUGAGCCGAGAUCUUGCCAUUGCACUCCAGCCGGGGCAACAAGAGCAAAACUCCAUCUAAAAAAAAAAAAUAGUCCUAGCCCUCAGGAAACUGACAUGGUAUGUAGGUUUGGACCAGACCUAAAUAAAAUAGCUUCAGUUAACUAUUAAAUUAUAAUUUAGGAACCAGAAGGAACUUAUUUAUAACAAAAACUUUGAAUUGCCAGAAUUUUUACAGAUUUUAGCAGAGCAGAGUAAAUUAAUAACAUCUGAUUGCAUGUUUCCUUUUCAUUUUCCAUAAAGAAAAGCCUUAAAUCAAGCCAUUUUUUUUUCCAGAGGGUAAUGUACUAGGGCUACAAAUAAAUUCAUUUAGCCCAAUAAAGGUAGUCUUAACAGUAGCCAGAGUCAUCUGGGACCAUUGUAGCAUCUUAAACACAGAUUCUAAGAAAUGUUUAGAAACUAUAAAGAACAAAAUAGUUAUGUCUUCAUCUGCUGAAGGAAUUCUAAUUUGCACAUGAAUAAGACACACAGCCCCUUUGACUAACCUGAUGAAGAUAAAACAGUGUCCUGAGUCAAGGUGAAGCUCUUUAAGAUGGGAAAAAAAUGCAAAUUUGAUAUUGAGGCCAUGGCAGGAGAAUCACUUGAACCUGGGAGGCAGAGGUUGCAGUGAGCCGAGAUCGUGCCACUGCACUCCAGCCUGGGCCACAGAGCGAGACUUUGUCUCAAAAACAAAAGAUACUGGGGCCAUAGGAGGAAUGUGAUAAACCAGAUGGUAGAGGAGAAAUGCCAUUAUGUGCAAGAAUAAAUGUAGAGUGCAAAAUGCUCUGGGUGUUGAUAAAAGGCAAUUACAGUAAAAGCCUUUCUAAGUAAAAAGGUCCAUUGUAAAAUCUGGCGGCCACAUAGCCUAGUGGUUAGGAAUAUAAGCCCAGGAAUUGCACUAGAUUUGAAUCCUGGUUCUACCACUAACUAGACAUGCGACACUGGCAAGUUAUGUAGUCUAUCUGAGUUUUGGUUUCUUUUUCACUAAAAUAAGGAAAUCUAUAAAAAUAUAUCUCAGCCAGGGGCAGUGGCUCACGCCUGUAACCCCAACACUUUGUGAGGCCAAGGUGGGCGGAUCACAAGGUCAGGAGUUUGAGACCAGCCUGGCCAACAUGGUGAAACCCUGUCUCUACUAAAAAUACAAAAAAUAGCUGGACGUGGUGGCAGGCACCUGUAACCCCAGCUGCUCGGGAGGCUAAGGCAGGAGAAUUGUUUGAACCCGGGAGGCAGAGGUUGCAGUGAGCCGAGAUUGCACCAUUGCACUCCAGCCUGGGUGACAGAGCGAGACUCCGUCUC
Molecule: long non-coding RNA, 1891 nt
Filed under: Homo sapiens (human)
Lineage: Eukaryota; Metazoa; Chordata; Mammalia; Primates; Hominidae
Description: non-protein coding lnc-LRBA-1:1
Source: RNAcentral